GUUGAUCACAUGUUCUAUUUCGUUUCUGCACUCUUACAGUUUGGUUGGUCCAGCACCAGUUUUGGGCACAAUAGAAGCCCCCGGGGCACUUUAUUUCACUUUUAGCAAAAACAUCCAUUGUUUUUCUAGAGUGGUUGACCAUAUGGUAAAUAAAUUCCAAUCUCAAUCUAGAAAGUAAGAAAAAUAAAUGUAAUCACUUUUCACUGCAUACGGAUGGCUAAGUCCCAACUCCUUCAGUAAAUGUGCGCCUCACAGGAUC
Non-coding RNA from Pelobates cultripes (western spadefoot toad), 259 nucleotides. The record is from the annotation of a GenBank genome assembly. Lineage: Eukaryota; Metazoa; Chordata; Amphibia; Anura; Pelobatidae.